This 462-nucleotide ribosomal RNA is filed under the name uncultured bacterium. Its description in RNAcentral is "partial 16S ribosomal RNA". It matches the Rfam family "Bacterial small subunit ribosomal RNA", at positions 28 to 507 of the family's 1533-position model. The record is from RNAcentral.
GACGAACGCUGGCGGCGUGCUUAACACAUGCAAGUCGAACGGUAAGGCCCUUCGGGGUACACGAGUGGCGAACGGGUGAGUAACACGUGGGUAAUCUGCCCUGCACUUCGGGAUAAGCCUGGGAAACUGGGUCUAAUACCGGAUAUUCAGUUCCUGCCGCAUGGUGGGGGGUGGAAAGUUUUUCGGUGCAGGAUGAGCCCGCGGCCUAUCAGCUUGUUGGUGGGGUAAUGGCCUACCAAGGCGACGACGGGUAGCCGGCCUGAGAGGGUGAUCGGCCACACUGGGACUGAGACACGGCCCAGACUCCUACGGGAGGCAGCAGUGGGGAAUAUUGCACAAUGGGCGAAAGCCUGAUGCAGCGACGCCGCGUGAGGGAUGACGGUCUUCGGAUUGUAAACCCCUUUCAGUAGGGACGAAGCGCAAGUGACGGUACCUGCAGAAGAAGCACCGGCCAACUACGUG